CGCUCCUACCGAUUGAAUGGUACGGUGAAGUGUCCGGAUUGUGCGACAUGGGCAUUGCAGAAUCCCGUGAACCAUCGAGUCUUUGAACGCAAGUUGCGCCCGAUGCCAUUAGGUUGAGGGCACGUCUGCCUGGGUGUCA
This 139-nucleotide ribosomal RNA is filed under the name Cicer arietinum (chickpea). RNAcentral's name for it is "5.8S ribosomal RNA". It matches the Rfam family "5.8S ribosomal RNA", at positions 44 to 154 of the family's 154-position model. Rfam says of the family: 5.8S ribosomal RNA (5.8S rRNA) is a component of the large subunit of the eukaryotic ribosome. The record is from Rfam by way of RNAcentral. Lineage: Eukaryota; Viridiplantae; Streptophyta; Magnoliopsida; Fabales; Fabaceae.